RNAcentral lists this transfer RNA (76 nucleotides) under Aepyornis hildebrandti. Its description in RNAcentral is "tRNA-Trp". It matches the Rfam family "tRNA". Rfam says of the family: Transfer RNA (tRNA) molecules are approximately 80 nucleotides in length. Their secondary structure includes four short double-helical elements and three loops (D, anti-codon, and T loops). The record is from RNAcentral. Lineage: Eukaryota; Metazoa; Chordata; Aves; Struthioniformes; Aepyornithidae.
AGAAACUUAGRAUAACCAUAGAUCAAACCAAAGGCCUUCAAAGCCUUAAAUAAGAGUUAAAACCUCUUAGUUUYUG